Long non-coding RNA from Photinus pyralis (common eastern firefly), 1763 nucleotides. RefSeq lists it as uncharacterized. Lineage: Eukaryota; Metazoa; Arthropoda; Insecta; Coleoptera; Lampyridae. The transcript has 6 exons. The record is from RefSeq and is a predicted model, not a curated record.
GGAAUAUAAUGGUAGAGGGGGUAAGAAUUUUUGUAGACGGAAGUUGCCACAUCCAGAGGCCACUCGCGUGGAUAGGUUCCAGAGACAUGGAGUGGUGGGAGAUGGAGGAACGACAAGUGCGCAUCCAAUAAUUUGGGAGACGAAGCCGCCAUUUUUACACUGUUUCUGUCAGUUUCUCAGCAGUUUCUCCGUGUGAUUUGAAAUUUGACGUUCAAGAGCAACUUAACCUCAAAAUAAUUCCCGGAAAAUUUCGUUUAUUUCGGCUUUAUUCUUUCGUAGUUCACAGUGUCGAGUGCUGGUGCUCUCUAAAGUGUUUAGAAAUGACUUGUACAGUGGAAAGCUGCAAAAAUAUUCGGCGUUUCAAGCCAGAAGGUGUAACGUUCCACAGGUUACCUCGAGACUCCGGCAAGCUCGAACAAUGGCUCCAUAUUUUGGGCAAAGAUAAUUUAUUAGACUUGGAAUCCACCAAGUAUAAACUAAUUUGCUCCAAACAUUUCGAAAGAAACUGUUUUAUUAUAAAAAAUGGUAAAAAAUACUUGGUUCCCUCCGCUGUUCCAUCAUUACGUUUAUCAUCAACACCUUCACGAAGAGAGAAAGAAGGCCUUUCGUCUUCGAAUACCUUGCAAUCUUCAAUUGAUUCUUCGAGGGCAUCGACUUCUGGAGUUGGGCAAAUUUCCGAAAUAAAUAGAUUCUCAUCGUCAACCGGUAGCAGUUCUAACGCUAGUAGGAAAAGAAGACGUAAAAUUUUAAUUGUUCAAAGAGAUCAUUCAUAUAACAUUACGCCUGGAAUACUGAAUGAAAAAUUCCGAAACUUGAGAGAACAACAACUAAAAUCCCGCAGAAAGCUUUAUAAAGCUAAGAAACAAAUAAAAAAUUUGAACAAGAAAGUCACUUCGCUUCAGGCAAUAAUUAAGAGCUUAAAAGAGAAUAACAUGAUUUCGGAUAGCGCAUUGGUCCAUUUACAAAAAUCUUAAAGUAUCUUAAGGGCUCGUAAUGGUUGGAACAAUAAUCCAACUGCUUUGCAAUUUAUGUAUUCAUUCCGUCGUAUUCUUCUUUUCACGAAAGUAUCUCCAAGAGGCGGUAAUUGCAAAGUAUUGGAUACGACAACUAUUCUACAUGUCCCGUCAAAAAGCAAAUCACGGAAAACAUUGGAGAUGUAUGACGUGUCACUGGCUAUGAAAUAUGGUUUGACAGAUGAAGUGGUCAUUCAGGAUCAUGAGUAUUACUUCGACAUUCCUUUUGCAGACCUUAAUGACAUUACCACCAAUAUUAUAACUUAUAUUGGUGGAUAUGUUGUAAAAAUGCCCCGAAUGUUUGGAAGAAUGCCUGGUGAAAGCAAACCAACUUUCAGGAGUCAAUUAUAUGCUCUUACUACGUAAAAAAAGAGGAGCUCUCCACACUCCAAGCUCGAGUGUUGUAAAAAUAUGCUGCACAACAGAAAUUUAUAUAAAGAGAAUGAUGAUUAUGACGGAUGGGGCAUUACCCCCGGAAACUGGUUUUUUCGACACUUUCAUGGUUGCUGUCGCUCAAAAAACAUAUGAGUAUAACUUGUUUGAAGAAUUGGACCACCAUUUUUCAUGCUUCGCCUUCAGUGAAGAAAAUCACAAAUUCCUGCUUAUUAAAUUAAUAAUAAAAAAUUAUUUAAAAAUACGAAUUUUCAGUUUAGGUCGCAGAUAUACACAAAAAAUGUCUGGGCCUCUAGUGCGGCAACAGCUCACUAAAUUAAUUUUAUUCAAUCACCAAUAAAUAAUAUGUUAUUAUGA